GAUGAAGAACGUAGCGAAAUGCGAUAAGUAAUGUGAAUUGCAGAAUUCAGUGAAUCAUCGAAUCUUGGAACGCACAUUGCGCCCGCCAGUAUUCUGGCGGGCAUGCCUGUUCGAGCGUCAUUACAACCCUCAGGCCCCCGGGCCUGGCGUUGGGGAUCGGCGGAGCCCCCCGUGGGCACACGCCGUCCCCCAAAUACAGUGGCGGUCCCGCCGCAGCUUCCAUCGCGUAGUAGCUAACACCUCGCGACUGGAGAGCGGCGCGGCCACGCCGUAAAACACCCAACUCUUCUGAAGUUGACCUCGAAUCAGGUAGGAAUACCCGCUGAACUUAAGCAUAUCAAUAAGCGGAGGA
RNAcentral lists this unclassified non-coding RNA (352 nucleotides) under soil metagenome. RNAcentral's name for it is "partial contains 5.8S ribosomal RNA, internal transcribed spacer 2, and large subunit ribosomal RNA". The stretch from base 1 to 120 matches the Rfam family "5.8S ribosomal RNA", at positions 35 to 154 of the family's 154-position model. The record is from RNAcentral.